Tupaia belangeri chinensis (Chinese tree shrew) is the source of this 326-nucleotide long non-coding RNA. RefSeq lists it as uncharacterized. The record is from RefSeq and is a predicted model, not a curated record. Lineage: Eukaryota; Metazoa; Chordata; Mammalia; Scandentia; Tupaiidae. The transcript is spliced from 2 exons.
GUAUAGGUAGAUUCUGACUGUAAGAUGUUGUUUUAGGGGCUCAAGGGGAGAAACUGAAAGUGUUUGACUCUUUUUCUAAAGUGUUGAAGGUCUUUCUAAUGUAGCUAUUUUUCUCGUUGCAUCUUUUCUACUUCAGCGCACUCGGUGUGCUGGCUUAAUGGCUAGUACUGUAUUGGCUCUGUGAAAUCCUGUGUGUGAAGAAGAGUAUGUAGUGGCUUUUUUGGAACUGUUAGAUGCUGAAUAUCUGUUCACUUUUCCAUCCCAGUUCUGCCCCGAUCCUACGAGAUGCUACUGUACUUGAAUGGUUAAUAAAGCUGCACAGUGCU